UGUCUCAAAGAUUAAGCCAUGCAUGUCUAAGUACAGGCUUUGGUACAGCGAAACCGCGAAUGGCUCAUUAAAUCAGCUAUAAUUUAUUAGAUUGUUCUCUACUUGGAUAACUGUGGGAAUUCUAGAGCUAAUACAUGCGCAAAAGCUCCGACCUCCGGGGAGGAGUGCAGUUAUUAGACCAAAACCAGCCGAGCCUCGGCUCGAACUGUUUGGUGACUCUGGAUAACUAUCAGCGGAUCGCAUGGCCUUGUGCCGGCGACAUAUCUUUCAAGUGUCUGACCUAUCAACUGACGAUGGUACGCGAUAUGCCUACCAUGGUGAUAACGGGUAACGGAGAAUAAGGGUUCGACUCCGGAGAGGGAGCCUGAGAAAUGGCUACCACAUCCAAGGAUGGCAGCAGGCGCGCAAAUUACCCACUCUCAGUACGAGGAGGUAGUGACGAAAAAUAACAAUGCGGGACUCUAUGAGGCCUCGCAAUUGGAAUGAGCGCACUUUAAAUCGUUCGACGAGGAUCUAUUGGAGGGCAAGUCUGGUGCCAGCAGCCGCGGUAAUUCCAGCUCCAAUAGCGUAUAUUAAAGUUGUUGCAGUUAAAAAGCUCGUAGUUGGAUCUGGGGUUCGGGUCGGCGGUUUGCCGCUCUGCGGCUACUGCCGUGCUCGACUCUUACUAGCCGGUGCGUCUCGUGGUGCUCUUCAUUGAGUGCCUCGAGAGCCUGGCAUGUUUACUUUGAAAAAAUUAGAGUGCUCAAAGCAGGCGCUUCCGCCUGAAUAGUGUUGCAUGGAAUAAUGGAAUAGGACCUCGGUUCUAUUUUGUUGGUUUUCGGAACUUGAGGUAAUGAUUAAGAGGGACGGUCGGGGGCAUUCGUAUUUCGGUGUUAGAGGUGAAAUUCUUGGAUCGCUGAAAGACGGACAAAUGCGAAAGCAUCUGCCAAGAACGUCUCCAUUAAUCAAGAACGAAAGUCAGAGGUUCGAAGACGAUCAGACACCGUCCUAGUUCUGACCAUAAACGAUGCCAACUAGCGAUCCGCAGUGGUUGCUAUAAACGGACUCUGCGAGCAGCUUCCGGGAAACCAAAGUGUUUGGGUUCCGGGGGAAGUAUGGUUGCAAAGCUGAAACUUAAAGGAAUUGACGGAAGGGCACCACCAGGAGUGGAGCCUGCGGCUUAAUUUGACUCAACACGGGGAAACUCACCCGGUCCGGACACCGUAAGGAUUGACAGAUCGAGAGCUCUUUCUUGAUUCGGUGGAUGGUGGUGCAUGGCCGUUCUUAGUUGGUGGAGUGAUUUGUCUGGUUAAUUCCGAUAACGAACGAGACUCUAGCCUGCUAACUAGUUGCGCCGUGUUCAUUCGCGGCUGUAGACUUCUUAGAGGGACAGAUGGCGUUUAGCCAUACGAAACUGAGCAAUAACAGGUCUGUGAUGCCCUUAGAUGUCCGGGGCCGCACGCGCGCUACACUGAAGGAGUCAGCGUGUGCUAUCCGGGCUCGGAAGAGCUCGGUAACCCGUUGAAACUCCUUCGUGCUUGGGAUUGUGGCUUGUAAUUAUCGCGCAUGAACGAGGAAUUCCCAGUAAGUGCAAGUCAUCAGCUUGCGCUGACUACGUCCCUGCCCUUUGUACACACCGCCCGUCGCUACUACCGAUUGAAUGGUUUAGCAAGGUACUCGGAUUGGUCUCUGUCUUGCACGCAAGUGCGAGACUGGGUGCCGAGAAGAAGGCCAAACUUGAUCAUUUAGAGGAAGUAAAAGUCGUAACAAGG
RNAcentral lists this ribosomal RNA (1751 nucleotides) under Stenostomum sp. 'longpit'. RNAcentral's name for it is "SSU rRNA". It matches the Rfam family "Eukaryotic small subunit ribosomal RNA". The record is from RNAcentral. Lineage: Eukaryota; Metazoa; Platyhelminthes; Stenostomidae.